GACUAGUAUAUGUGCAGUGGUGUAUGCAACUAAUCUAUCACAACUAGUUGUAGAUUUCUUUGUUACUGCUCUACUCCUACUGCUUCACUUGACUAGCCUUAA
Molecule: Y RNA, 102 nt
Filed under: Carlito syrichta (Philippine tarsier)
Lineage: Eukaryota; Metazoa; Chordata; Mammalia; Primates; Tarsiidae
Description: Y RNA (ENSTSYG00000036504.1)
Rfam family: Y RNA
About the family: Y RNAs are components of the Ro ribonucleoprotein particle (Ro RNP), in association with Ro60 and La proteins. The Y RNAs and Ro60 and La proteins are well conserved, but the function of the Ro RNP is not known. In humans the RNA component can be one of four small RNAs -- hY1, hY3, hY4 and hY5.
Source: Rfam by way of RNAcentral